UACAGAGGGGGCGAGCGUUGUUCGGAUUUACUGGGCGUAAAGGGCGCGCAGGCGGCGGAUCAAGUCAGACGUGAAAGCCCCGGGCUUAACCUGGGAACUGCGUUUGGGACUGAUUUGCUAGAGAUCGGGAGAGGAGAGUGGAAUUCCCGGUGUUGUGGUGAAAUGCGUAGAUAUCGGGAGGAACACCAGUGGCGAAUGCGGCCCUCUGGGCCGGGUCUGACGCUGAGGCGCGAAGGCGUGGGGAGCGAUCCGG
Molecule: ribosomal RNA, 253 nt
Filed under: uncultured bacterium
Lineage: Bacteria
Description: partial 16S ribosomal RNA
Rfam family: Bacterial small subunit ribosomal RNA
Source: RNAcentral